Molecule: ribosomal RNA, 483 nt
Filed under: uncultured bacterium
Lineage: Bacteria
Description: partial 16S ribosomal RNA
Rfam family: Bacterial small subunit ribosomal RNA
Source: RNAcentral
GACGAACGCUGGCGGCGUGCUUAACACAUGCAAGUCGAACGAUGAAGCGGGUGCUUGCACUCGUGGAUUAGUGGCGAACGGGCGAGUAACACGUGAGUAACCUGUCCUUUUCUUUGGGAUAACGGCUGGAAACGGCUGCUAAUACUGGAUAUUCAGGCUGCAUCGCAUGGUGUGGUUUGGAAAGGUUUUUUCUGGGAUUGGGUGGGCUCGCGGCCUAUCAGCUUGUUGGUGGGGUGAUGGCUUACCAAGGCUUUGACGGGUAGCCGGCCUGAGAGGGUGGGCGGUCGCACUGGGACUGAGAUAAGGCCCAGACUCCUACGGGAGGGAGCAGUGGGGAAUAUUGCACAAUGGACGAAAGUUUGAUGCAGCGACGCCGCGUGGAGGGUGUAGGCCUUAGGGUUGUGAACUCCUUUUUCUAGAGAAAAAGGCACAGUUUUGGCUGUGUUGAUGGUAGUGGGGGAAGAAGCGACGGCUAACUACGUG